UGGGGAAUAUUGGCCAAUGGGCGAAAGCCUGAUCCAGCCAUGCCGCGUGUGUGAAGAAGGUCUUCGGAUUGUAAAGCACUUUAAGUUGGGAGGAAGGGCAUUAACCUAAUACGUUAGUGUUUUGACGUUACCGACAGAAUAAGCACCGGCUAACUCUGUGCCAGCAGCCGCGGUAAUACAGAGGGUGCAAGCGUUAAUCGGAAUUACUGGGCGUAAAGCGCGCGUAGGUGGUUUGUUAAGUUGGAUGUGAAGUCCCCGGGCUCAACCUGGGAACUGCAUUCAAAACUGACUGACUAGAGUAUGGUAGAGGGUGGUGGAAUUUCCUGUGUAGCGGUGAAAUGCGUAGAUAUAGGAAGGAACACCAGUGGCGAAGGCGACCACCUGGACUAAUACUGACACUGAGGUGCGAAAGCGUGGUGAGCAAACA
RNAcentral lists this ribosomal RNA (427 nucleotides) under uncultured bacterium. Its description in RNAcentral is "partial 16S ribosomal RNA". It matches the Rfam family "Bacterial small subunit ribosomal RNA", at positions 355 to 774 of the family's 1533-position model. The record is from RNAcentral.